GAUGAACGCUGGCGGCGUGCCUAAUACAUGCAAGUCGAGCGAACGGACGAGAAGCUUGCUUCUCUGAUGUUAGCGGCGGACGGGUGAGUAACACGUGGAUAACCUACCUAUAAGACUGGGAUAACUUCGGGAAACCGGAGCUAAUACCGGAUAAUAUUUUGAACCGCAUGGUUCAAAAGUGAAAGACGGUCUUGCUGUCACUUAUAGAUGGAUCCGCGCUGCAUUAGCUAGUUGGUAAGGUAACGGCUUACCAAGGCAACGAUGCAUAGCCGACCUGAGAGGAUGAUCGGCCACACUGGAACUGAGACACGGUCCAGACCCCUACGGGAGGCAGCAGUAGGGAAUCUUCCGCAAUGGGCGAAAGCCUGACGGAGCAACGCCGCGUGAGUGAUGAAGGUCUUCGGAUCGUAAAACUCUGUUAUUAGGGAAGAACAUAUGUGUAAGUAACUGUGCACAUCUUGACGGUACCUAAUCAGAAAGCCACGGCUAACUACGUG
Molecule: ribosomal RNA, 497 nt
Filed under: uncultured bacterium
Lineage: Bacteria
Description: partial 16S ribosomal RNA
Rfam family: Bacterial small subunit ribosomal RNA
Source: RNAcentral